AGAGUUUGAUCCUGGCUCAGGAUGAACGCUAGCUACAGGCUUAACACAUGCAAGUCGAGGGGCAGCAUUGGGAUAGCUUGCUAUUCCAGAUGGCGACCGGCGCACGGGUGAGUAACGCGUAUCCAACCUUCCCUAUAGUAGAGAAUAGCCCGGCGAAAGUCGGAUUAAUGCUCUAUGUUGUGUUUUGAGGACAUCUGACGAACACCAAAGGUUCACCGCUAUAGGAUGGGGAUGCGUCUAAUUAGCUUGUUGGCGGGGUAACGGCCCACCAAGGCGACGAUCAGUAGGGGUUCUGAAAGGAAGGUCCCCCACAUUGGUACUGAAACACGGACCAAACUCCUACGGGAGGCAGCAGUAAGGAAUAUUGGUCAAUGGGCGAAAACUGAACCAGCCAAGUAGCGUGCAGGACGACUGCCCUAUGGGUUGUAAACUGCUUUUAUCAGGGAAUAAAGUACGGCACGUGUGCGUUUUGUAUGUACCUGAUGAAUAACGACCGGCUAAUUCCGUGCCA
Molecule: ribosomal RNA, 511 nt
Filed under: unidentified rumen bacterium 12-61
Lineage: Bacteria; Pseudomonadati; Bacteroidota; Bacteroidia; Bacteroidales; Bacteroidaceae
Description: bacterial SSU rRNA
Rfam family: Bacterial small subunit ribosomal RNA
Source: RNAcentral